This is a non-coding RNA of Triticum aestivum (bread wheat), 135 nucleotides long. Lineage: Eukaryota; Viridiplantae; Streptophyta; Magnoliopsida; Poales; Poaceae. The record is from Rfam.
CAAAUAAUCCCUUCGUCCGGAAAUACUUGUCAUCAAAAUGGAUAAAAGGAAAUGUAUCUAGACGUAUUUUAGUUUUAGAUACAUCUCUUUUUAUCCAUUUUGAUGACAAGUAUUUUCGGACGAAGGGAGUAGAAA